UCGUUGUGUUGUAACAGAAACAG
This 23-nucleotide transfer RNA is filed under the name Pritchardia thurstonii. RNAcentral's name for it is "partial tRNA-Asp". The record is from RNAcentral. Lineage: Eukaryota; Viridiplantae; Streptophyta; Magnoliopsida; Arecales; Arecaceae.